CUACGGGGCGCACCAGUGGGGAAUAUUGCACAAUGGAGGAAACUCUGAUGCAGCAACGCCGCGUGGAGGAUGACACUUUUCGGAGCGUAAACUCCUUUUAUAUAGGAAGAAGAUGACGGUACUAUAUGAAUAAGCGCCGGCUAACUCCGUGCCAGCAGCCGCGGUAAUACAGAGGGCGCAAGCGUUACUCGGAAUCACUGGGCGUAAAGAGCGUGUAGGCGGAUUAAAAAGUCAGAAGUGAAAUCCUAUAGCUUAACUAUAGAACUGCUUCUGAAACUCUUAAUCUAGAAUAUGGGAGAGGUAGAUGGAAUUUCUGGUGUAGGGGUAAAAUCCGUAGAGAUCAGAAGGAAUACCGAUUGCGAAGGCGAUCUACUAGAACAUUAUUGACGCUGAGACGUGAAAGCGUGGGGAGCAAACAGGAUUAGAUACCCGUGUAGUC
RNAcentral lists this ribosomal RNA (439 nucleotides) under uncultured bacterium. RNAcentral describes it as "partial 16S ribosomal RNA". It matches the Rfam family "Bacterial small subunit ribosomal RNA", at positions 339 to 795 of the family's 1533-position model. The record is from RNAcentral.